Silurus meridionalis is the source of this 624-nucleotide non-coding RNA. Lineage: Eukaryota; Metazoa; Chordata; Actinopteri; Siluriformes; Siluridae. The record is from the annotation of a RefSeq genome assembly.
UGGGAGUGUUUAUAGUGCUGUGACAUUCACACUUCAUGACUGAGAGCUGCUGCUACAGAAACUUCACCCACAGCUACCAUGACUUUGAUCCCUGUCUUCAUCUGGACACUGAUCCUCUGGACUCAAGAAUGCAGAGGUCAAGCAACAGUAACUCAGACUCCUCCAGAGAAAUCUGCUCUUCCAGGAGAAACAGUCACCAUCAACUGUAAAACCAGUCAGGCAGUGACCAAGAAUUCAUAUGGUGAAUUGUUGCACUGGUAUCAGCAGAAAGCUGGAGAAGCUCCUAAACUCCUGAUUAAACUUGUAAACCAGCUACAAUCGGGGUUUCCAGCUCGUUUCAGUGGCAGUGGAUCUGGAUCUGAUUUCACUCUGACCAUCAGUGGAGUCCAGGCUGAAGAUGCAGGAGAUUAUUACUGUCAGAGUCACCACAGCAUCUCAGGCUACUGGUUCACACAGUGAUAUAGAGUCAUACAAAAACCUCCCUCAGUCAGAUAGUAGAGAAACUGCACUGCUGCAGCUGGGAGCGACUGCAGGUGCUGAGUUGGAGGAUGUGAUACACACAAACACACAAAUUCCUAUUUAACAGACACAAACAUCAGGGCUUUUACUUGUAAUUUUUGUGUC